This is a long non-coding RNA of Thalassophryne amazonica, 492 nucleotides long. RefSeq lists it as uncharacterized. Lineage: Eukaryota; Metazoa; Chordata; Actinopteri; Batrachoidiformes; Batrachoididae. The record is from RefSeq and is a predicted model, not a curated record. The transcript has 2 exons.
CUGGAGGCUUUAAAGUCAGUUUUGCACUGAAAACAUUAAACUUUUCCACAGAAAUGCGUUUGGUCAAACGUCCUCUGACAAUGUAAAGAACAUUUUAAAGAUGUUUUGAUUUAGCCGAGAAGGUUGUUCGUUGUGGAUCACAGAGCUGAAUUUGCUAAUUGGAUGAAACAGUGACUUUGUCCAAAGUGUGCAGUUGCAGUUCAAGCCGCAGUCCACUUGGUUGAGGACAUGUUACUGAAAGAAACACAGUGGUGUAUCAGUUGCUGUUUGUUGUGAUGCGUUUGUUUGUCUGGAUGUCGUUUUGUGUUCUUGGACAUGAACUGUGCUGGUUGUGGUGCAGAUGUGGACCCGUCAUGAGUAGAUGAAGUGAAUUGUUGUGCUGAGAGAACAGAGUUCAUGACUGAAAGAGGUUAAUGUGAAAGCUGAGAGACUGAGAGUCACUGGCUUGCCUGAGAAAGAAAACUGAUUUAUUAUCAUCACAUUCCCCAGAAA